GACGAACGCUGGCGGCGCGCCUAACACAUGCAAGUCGAACGAGCGAGAGAGAGCUUGCUUUCUCGAGCGAGUGGCGAACGGGUGAGUAACGCGUGAGGAACCUGCCUCAAAGAGGGGGACAACAGUUAGAAAUGACUGCUAAUACCGCAUAUGCCUUAGAACCACAUGGUUCAAAAGGGAAAGGAGCAAUCCGCUGAUAGAUGGGCUUGCGUCUGAUUAGCUAGUUGGUGGGGUAAUGGCCUACCAAGGCAACGAUCAGUAGCCGAACUGAGAGGUUGAACGGCCACAUUGGGACUGAGAUACGGCCCAG
RNAcentral lists this ribosomal RNA (310 nucleotides) under uncultured bacterium. RNAcentral describes it as "bacterial SSU rRNA". It matches the Rfam family "Bacterial small subunit ribosomal RNA", at positions 28 to 334 of the family's 1533-position model. The record is from RNAcentral.